GUGAAUCAUCGAAUUUUUGAACGCAAAUUGCACUCUCGGGUAUUCCGGAGAGGAGGCCUGUUUGGUGUGCAGUUUAAGUAAAGAUCGGUGUGGUUGCUUCCUUUCGUGGUGACGCACCGGGUUUGGGUCGUCUGGCCUUCGGUUAAGUGACCGAAAAUUUUGCAUUGUUUUUUUCGAACGUAUUUAAAUGAUUUUACGUACGUUUGCGAUAUCUAAUACUAGGUGUGGUCAUCCUCAUGAGUCAC
Molecule: unclassified non-coding RNA, 245 nt
Filed under: Glomus sp.
Lineage: Eukaryota; Fungi; Glomeromycota; Glomeromycetes; Glomerales; Glomeraceae
Description: partial internal transcribed spacer 2
Rfam family: 5.8S ribosomal RNA (bases 1-70)
Source: RNAcentral